CCUACGGGAGGCAGCAGCAAGGAAUCUUCCGCAAUGGGCGACAGCCUGACGGAGCAACGCCGCGUGUGGGAUGACGCCUUUCGGGGUGUAAACCACUUUUCUCAGGGAAGAAGCACUGACGGUACCUGAGGAAGAAGGACCGGCUAACUACGUGCCAGCAGCCGCGGUAAU
RNAcentral lists this ribosomal RNA (171 nucleotides) under uncultured bacterium. Its description in RNAcentral is "partial 16S ribosomal RNA". It matches the Rfam family "Bacterial small subunit ribosomal RNA", at positions 338 to 524 of the family's 1533-position model. The record is from RNAcentral.